GAUGAACGCUGACAGAAUGCUUAACACAUGCAAGUCGAUUCGAUUUACCUUCGGGUAUUGAGGAUGGCGGACGGGUGAGUAACGCGUAAGGAACUUGCCUCUUGGUCUGGGACAACUGUUGGAAACGACAGCUAAUACCGGAUAUUAUGAGAUUCUCGCAUGGGAAACUUAUGAAAGCUAUAUGCGCCAAGAGAGAGCCUUGCGUUCCAUUAGCUAGUUGGUGGGGUAACGGCCCACCAAGGCGACGAUGGAUAGCCGGCCUGAGAGGGUGAACGGCCACAAGGGGACUGAGACACGGCCCUUACUCCUACGGGAGGCAGCAGUGGGGAAUAUUGGACAAUGGGCCACAAGCCUGAUCCAGCAAUUCUGUGUGCACGAUGAAGGUCUUCGGACUGUAAAGUGCUUUCAGUUGGGAAGAAGAAAGUGACGGUACCAACAGAAGAAGCGACGGCUAAAUACGUGCCAGCAGCCGCAGUAA
This 478-nucleotide ribosomal RNA is filed under the name uncultured bacterium. Its description in RNAcentral is "partial 16S ribosomal RNA". It matches the Rfam family "Bacterial small subunit ribosomal RNA", at positions 28 to 523 of the family's 1533-position model. The record is from RNAcentral.